Molecule: ribosomal RNA, 552 nt
Filed under: Bacillus amyloliquefaciens
Lineage: Bacteria; Bacillati; Bacillota; Bacilli; Caryophanales; Bacillaceae
Description: bacterial SSU rRNA
Rfam family: Bacterial small subunit ribosomal RNA
Source: RNAcentral
CGGAUCGUAAAGCUCUGUUGUUAGGGAAGAACAAGUGCCGUUCAAAUAGGGCGGCACCUUGACGGUACCUAACCAGAAAGCCACGGCUAACUACGUGCCAGCAGCCGCGGUAAUACGUAGGUGGCAAGCGUUGUCCGGAAUUAUUGGGCGUAAAGGGCUCGCAGGCGGUUUCUUAAGUCUGAUGUGAAAGCCCCCGGCUCAACCGGGGAGGGUCAUUGGAAACUGGGGAACUUGAGUGCAGAAGAGGAGAGUGGAAUUCCACGUGUAGCGGUGAAAUGCGUAGAGAUGUGGAGGAACACCAGUGGCGAAGGCGACUCUCUGGUCUGUAACUGACGCUGAGGAGCGAAAGCGUGGGGAGCGAACAGGAUUAGAUACCCUGGUAGUCCACGCCGUAAACGAUGAGUGCUAAGUGUUAGGGGGUUUCCGCCCCUUAGUGCUGCAGCUAACGCAUUAAGCACUCCGCCUGGGGAGUACGGUCGCAAGACUGAAACUCAAAGGAAUUGACGGGGGCCCGCACAAGCGGUGGAGCAUGUGGUUUAAUUCGAAGCAACG